GGGCCCGUGGUCUAGCGGCAUGACGUAACCUUCACACGGUUAAGGUCACCAGUUCGAUUCUGGUCGGGCCCA
Molecule: transfer RNA, 72 nt
Filed under: Candidatus Woesearchaeota archaeon
Lineage: Archaea; Nanobdellati; Candidatus Woesearchaeota
Description: tRNA-Val
Rfam family: tRNA
About the family: Transfer RNA (tRNA) molecules are approximately 80 nucleotides in length. Their secondary structure includes four short double-helical elements and three loops (D, anti-codon, and T loops).
Source: RNAcentral